CCGCAUCGCAGGGUGUGGAUCCGGAGCGGUCCAGAAAGGGUAGCCAGCACAGGGAGUAAUAACGGGAGAGGGGCGAAUAUGAGUUAAUGCUACCCGAGAAGAACACCACCUAGGAGGUGAAUAUCCUGCGAGAAAAAUCAGAGGAUUGAAAGAAAAUAUAGUUCAUUGUUUGACCUGGAGGUAUCAAAGGCAACAGUAGUGUGAGGAGAGAGCAUCGAGACAUACGGAAGCUCGGAACUGACUGGCAGCGACUGCGUAGAAGACGGUGUGAGAGGGAGGUGACAGUGUUGAAAAGUAUAUUGCUUUUGUUCAUUUGGAACUACGGAGUAUUGAGUUUUGUUUUAGAUGCACGUUUUUAUCUUACUUUCGCGGGGAUCACGACUCACUUCCGGAAACCCACUUAAUUUUUUGUUGAGCAAUCGCUACAGUUUUUGUAUCAAAACUGACGAAGAGACUCCAAAACCGGAAAAUUGUACUGUCGCAAAUGUCUUGUCAGACGAGAUACAUCAAUUUGACAUAAAAAAAAUAUAUAUAUGGGAGAGUGCGGACCGGAUUUAUUGAAUAUGUAAAAUAUUAUAUUCAAGUAUUUGACAUUCUGUAGUUAACAAACAGCCUUUGCCACCCAAGUGAACUCGCGAGAGAGAAGGAUACAUUUUGCUGCGUAUGUGGACGCGUCUCUGGCACAUCAAAGCAAAUCAAAAUUGAAGAUUCAUUUCUCUUUUUUUAUUAUCAAGAGAGGCGCAUUGACUCUACCUAGAUCAGAGACUUUGGAAUAGAGCGCAAGAAACUGACACUGAAAACGGUUUUACUUUUGUUGUGCCUUGGAAUACACUUACUUGCACAUGAACACUUUGCUUUGUCGUAUUUAUUUUUGCAUGCACAUGUUUAUUUCUUCUUCCUGCACACAAUAACAUUUUUCACAAGCUAAAGGUUGUUGUCACUCGUGUUUUUAGUUCCGUGUCCCUCUCCUACCACCUCUCGACCUGGCAGGCUUAAAGGGCACCAGUUAACUGUGGACUUCGCUAGUUCCGUUCAAGGGGGAAGGGUAGAUUUUCAUGUUUGUGCAUCUGGUGGAGGAGACAAAGACAAAAAGCUUUUACUGUGGAUGAUUUAUCUCUCUGAACUGUACCGUUAUCACUGGAUUAAACCACCAGGUUGAAGUCCGGGAAAGAAAACAGCACAGAUGUUUUUGGAUUGCUUUCACCUGCUUCUUUUUUGAGUGAUUAGUUCACAAUAGGAUACUUACACAGAAUCUAAGAGGCAAAGGCUAUUUUUAGGGAGAGUAAUGGGGUAAAUGGUGGUAGUUGGAAAUUGAGACCCCCACCCUCAGCCCAACAACACUUCCAGCUUUAGCUCUGGUUCCAUUGUCAGCUGCUGAAUUUUCAAAACUGGAAAUCCGAGUGGGGGUCCCGUCUCAGUCAAGCUCCCAGAUAUACAUCUCACCCUUGUCUACUAUCUGACUGUAUCUUCUAUCUUCUUUGACUGGAAUUUAAAAAAUAAAUUCAACAAGGAACAAUGCAUGAAACUCAGCACUUAUAAGAAGCAAACUUGAGUAACCAAAUAUUUUCUUCCCCAUAUACACAGAGAAGCAUAUUUUUCUAUAUAAUAUAUAUAUAUAUAUAAUAUAUAUAUAUAUAUAAUAUAUAUAUAUUAAAUAAGAAAUAGCUAUGAAUUAUAUAAGAAUAUGUAGUUUAAAUAAUUAUAUUAUAUUUUUACGUCAGAAAUAAGUAUUGUUGCCUGAAACCCAGUUCAUUGCCUUAGAGAAACAUAGUAAUAAAGAAUAAAGAGGAAAGACGACGUGGAACUUUUUUGGAAACAAGUUAAUGGUGCCUUUUUAGUUUCGUUGGUUCCUAAUGUCUCCACCACUUCAGGAUUGAAUUGUUGACAAAGAAAUAUUUUUGUGUGAAACCCUUAUAUAUAUAUAUAUAUAUAUAUACCUGCCUUUCCGGUUCAAACUUGAGUUAUAUUGUCGUUGGAUGUAUAUUCGCUGAAUUUCAGAGUUUCCUGAAGAUUUCUGAGCCGAGGAUUACCCCUUCACUCUACACUUGAUGCAUCCUCAUAGUUUUCCAAAGUAAUUUUGGAAUCCCCAAAUUAUAAACUUUGACUUGAUUUCUGGGAUACAGCGGCCCAACACACAAGAGUUUCCGAUGGUGAUCACUUCGUCAGUGGAGGAGAAGCCACAGCCUUCUAACAGAAUGGUCGCAAAUCUGCCGACCGACUCCUGGAUCAACAACCCAGAACAAAGUCGCUACUUACCAACUCAGUCACACCUACUCCGGAAACCGACAAAAAGUGGAAGCAGCUCAGGAUGCAAGCCCCCCUCCUCUACCCUCUGCCAGCCUGCCGCCUUGGGCUUCUCCCCCGCUGAGCCAACCAUGUCGAGCCAGCAUAGCCACCCCUCCUUCAGCAACAUCCACUCCAUGGCUGAACAGCAGCAGGUGCUGUCUGAUGCGACCAUACUGCAGAGGAGGAUCCCCCAAGUUUUAGAGAUCCCGCCAGCGCCCACUGAGAAAACUCUCUGUCGAUCUGAUCAAGACUUACAAGCACAUCAAUGAGGUGUACUACACGAAGAAGAAGCGGCGUGCCCAGCAGGUGCCCCCGGAGGACUCGAGCACUAAGAAGGAGCGGAAGGUGUACAAUGAUGGCUACGACGACGACAACUACGACUACAUCGUCAAGAACGGGGAGAAGUGGCUGGACCGCUACGAGAUUGACUCGCUCAUCGGCAAGGGCUCCUUCGGGCAGGUGGUGAAAGCCUAUGACCACCACGAGCAGGAGUGGGUGGCCAUCAAGAUCAUCAAGAACAAGAAAGCCUUCCUGAACCAGGCCCAGAUAGAGCUGCGACUGCUGGAGCUCAUGAACAAACACGACACAGAGAUGAAGUACUACAUAGUCCACCUGAAGAGGCACUUCAUGUUCCCGGAACCACCUGUGCUUGGUGUUCGAGCUUCUCUCCUACAACCUGUACGACCUCCUGCGCAACACCAACUUCCGUCUCUCUCAACCUGACCAGAAAGUUUGCCCAGCAGCUGUGCACGGCGCUGCUGUUCCCUGGCCAGCCCAACCACCUCAUCAUCCACUGCAUCACCUCAAGCCCGAGAACAUCCUGCUGUGCAACCCCAAGCGCAGCGCCAUCAAGAUCGUUGACUUCGGCAGCUCCUGUCAACUAGGCCAGAGGAUCUACCAGUACAUCCAGGUGGUUCAGAUGAAUAAGAUAGUCCGGAGGUGUGCUGGGGGUGCCCUCGACCUGGCCAUUGACAUGUGGUCCCUGGCUGCAUUCUGGUGGAGAUGCACACGGAGAACCCCUCUUCAGCGGCUGUGGAGGUAGGCUGUGAGAACACACAGAUGAAUAAGAUAGUGGAGGUGCUGUCCUCCCAACCACAUGCUGGUUCAGGCUCCCUGCACGGAAGUACUUUGACAGGUCCGAGGUCUGUGGACCGUCAAGAAGAACAAGGACAUAAAGAAGGAGUACAAGCCUCCUGCGACGCGGCGGCUCCAUGAGAUCCUGGGGGUGGAGACCGGGGGUCCUGGCGGGAGGCGGGGCGGAGAGCAGGGGCACGCUCCCUGCGAUUACCUGAAGUUCAAGGACCUGAUCCUGCGCAUGCUGGACUACGACCCCAAAACGCGCAUCACGCCCUUCUAUGCGCUGCAGCACAACUUCUUCAAGAAGACGACGGACGAGGGCACCAACACCAGCAGUUCCACCUCCACCAGCCCGGCCAUGGACCACAGCCACUCCACCUCCACCACCAGCUCCGUCUCCAGCUCCGGUACGGGACACAGCAGUGGAUCUAGCGGUUCUUCCAAUGACAACCGGAAUUACCGGUACAGUAACCGGUACUACAACAGUGCAGUUACUCACUCAGACUAUGAGAUGCAGAGUCCACAGGCUCCAUCUCAGCAGCAGCUACGCCUCUGGCCGGGGGGAGAGGGGGGCAUGGGUCCCCUGUCCAACAGCGGCAGUAGCGUCGGCGACCCCCCAUACCCCCAGCUGCUGCUGCACAAGCCGGCGGCCACCCAGCACUCGCGCCACUUCCUGGGAGGCGGCGGCAUGAUGGAACCACACCACCCGCACCCCAUCUACGGCAGUCACCACGGCAAUGGGCGGGGCCUGCGGCAGACUGGGCAGGGGAACCAGCCCCAGGGCCAGGCUUCACAGGGCCAGCCCCUGAUACCUAUCUCCUCCCCACAGAUGCCAGACAGCAUCGAGCUCAGCCUCACACACCACCACCAUCUGGGUCAGUCUUCCAUCAUGCCGCCCCCAUCCAGCUUGGACUCCAGCCAGUACGGCUCCUCCAACCUCCACCUGGGCCUCUCUGCCUUUCGGACUAGGACGGUCAUGGCCCCCCAGCCGCCCCCCGCCGGCUCUCAGCAACAGUUGGCUCAGCCCCCAGCCUCUCAGGACAGCUUGGUCGCUGCCUCCGGGCUUGGAUACAUCCCCCCAUGCUACCCGGGAAGUAACAACAAUAACAACCCUCCCCAGGGUAGCGUGGUCGGGGGCGGGAUGCUCACUGGGGGGCCCCCACCCAGGGGAGUAGGGGGUGGUGGGGGGAGGCCGGACUCUGAGGAGUCCACCAUGAUGGGUGUGUGCGGCAGUGGAGGAGGUGGUGGUCAGAACACGGCCAACUCUUGAUAAAUCUUGAACAAAUUCCAAAAGCCAUACAAUUUUAACAAUGACAACAUUACAAUUUCAACACGCAUACAUACACAGUACACACUUGAGUUUGAAACAAAUACGGCCACACAUAUAGUUACAGAGACAAACUUGUGAAAUAUCAAAGGAGUUUUGUUUUGCAUGGGAGAAGGUCAAGGGAGAGUGAGAGAGGGAGAGUGAGAGUAAGAGAGGGAGAGUGAGAGUAAGAGAGGGAGAGUGAGAGUAAGAGAGGGAAGGCUUUGAAACCAUUUUUAUCCUUUUUUCAGUUUCUUUGUUUUUCUUUUGUUGAAGGAAAGAAACGGGGCUCAGUAGUUGGAAUGGAAAGUUUCAGAUAAGUUUGUUUUUAUUGUUAUUAUUAUUAUUAUAUUAUUUGAUUUUAUGUGAUUUAAGGAAAGGUUUGCAGCGAGAUUUUUGUUGUUUGGGUUGUUUUUUGGAAUGAAGACCGCAAAGGUAAAUGAAUGGUUUGAAAAGUGGUAAUUGUUGGUUAAGAAGAGGGAGGCACGAGAGAGUACCCUUAUGCUAUUUUUUUCAAUCUUUUUUAUUUUCUUUGUUUUUGUUUAGUUUUUCUGAAGUAUAGGUUUAAUUGUACAUGUUUUAUUUAUUAAACAUCACUACAUGAGGAGGAGGGUAAGCGGGGAGAUCGAAAGAGCGCUAAAUUGAGAGGUGGUUUAUUUAUUCAUUUUAAUUUAUACAGGUUUUUUUUUCCAGCUAAUGGACAGUAAACACUUGUGCAUACACAGAGAAACAAACAAACUAGGGUGUUUUUAGUUUGUUUUUCAGUUCAGUAUAUCUCACCCCCGAAACACACACACUUUUGUUACAUUUAUUUUCUUCUCUCGCUUGACACUGGCUUAUAUAUCUGAAACUACGAAACAGAUCAUAGAAAUGAAAUGAAGCAAAUGACAAAAACCGUAGUCACCACACAGUGAGAAACUAUACGAUGAGGAGGCUGAAACAUUUGACGAAGUGAGACGCUUUCAAGAGGAGAGGGGGAACAGAACUUCUACACAAAAGGAGGAAGUGAUUCAACAAUGAAAAACAACAAAACAUUUUGCCACAAGGAAAACCAAAAUGCUUCCCUGUUGUUUAAAAAAAAGAAAUUAGUCUGCCUUCUACUUCAACAUCUAACCAGACUCUUUCACCCUCUUUCUCUGUCUUUCUCUCUGUCUUUUCUUACUCAAUUUUGUUUUGGACCAUAAACUACAGAAAUGUAACACAUUUUGGGUUGGAGUAACUGGAUAUGCUAAGCCAAAUCUUGCUCGCUCUCUCUGUCUCGCUCUCUUCUCCUCUGCCCCAUUUUUCUGUUGGAAGGGAGGGGGGAGGGGAGCAAUAUAUAGCAGGAGGGAGGAGUACAUACUUAUGAGGGGACACUUUCAUGCCCUCCUUACCCCUACAGCCCCAGUGACUGACUUCUCUGGCCUCUUUUCUUUCUCCUGUCUUUUGUUCUCCCCUUCCCUCCCUCCUUCACGACACUCUGUGAGUGCUGUUUGCCAUCAAGUCAAAAAAAAAGUGAACUACUUCUCUCUCGGCUGCUAUCUACACUUUCAACCAUGUUCGGAUUGCUGCUAAAGAAAACAGACAGACAGAUAAAUAAAUAAAAAUGAAACUUUUUAACCCUCCUGCUUCAGAAAAAAUUGAAAAAAUAAACCACUGCAUCUCAUGUAUUUAUUACUAUUUAACAAGAAAAAGAAAAGGUAAAGAUGAACCUGUUUUCUUCUGUUUUUUGUUUGGUUGCCUUCUUCCUGCUGGUGAAAGUUGGGCAUUGACUAAAUGUAACAGUUAAAGGUGGUAUUAAAACACUGACUUAGUUUAAGUCAGCCACUGGGCGGGGCCUGAAUGGGGGAAACUGGGUAAGAAUAAAGUUGGAUAUAUAAGAAUAAAGAGUAUACUUUUGCACACAAAGGUCAAAUGCAAAUCACAGCUUUCUGCUUUUUUCAGCUUUCAGUCGACAGACCCUCAUCUGAGCAAUGUGCAUACAGUAGCAGGCCUACCACAAAGACAACCUGUUGAUGUGGCAAGCUAAGUGAUCACUGACAUGGCAUAAUAAAUCUGAGAUUUGCGUUUGACCUCAA
This is an RNA transcript of Oncorhynchus keta (chum salmon), 6726 nucleotides long. It is a transcript of the gene named dual specificity tyrosine-phosphorylation-regulated kinase 1B-like, with no coding region annotated. NCBI's taxonomy places the organism in Eukaryota, Metazoa, Chordata, Actinopteri, Salmoniformes, Salmonidae. The transcript is spliced from 12 exons. The record is from RefSeq and is a predicted model, not a curated record.